AGGGUCCCCAGGGCCACCCGGGCACCCGUGGCCAGGAUGGGGCACAGGUAUGUAGCUGGGUUUGCCCCCCCCUCCAGGGGCUGCAGCCCCCCCCUGGUGCCCCCCCUCCCCUCUGCCAGGCCCCCUCCUUUCUGUGUUUCAGGGCGAGCCGGGUCCCAGGGGCGAGCCGGGCGAGAAGGGCACUUGGGCCAGUAGCUUCCAAACCCUCCUGCGGCAGCAGGCCCGGCUGGAGGUCCUGGCUAGAAGGGUCACCUUGCUGGAAGCCAUCAUCUGGCCAGAACCGGAGCCCGGCUCGGGCAGCGGCCCCCCCGGCACCGUGGCACCCGCCCCCCCCCGCAGCAAGCGUGGCGGUGGCCAGCCCCCCUACCGCAUCGUGGCCCCCCGCCAGCAGCCCCCCG
RNAcentral lists this long non-coding RNA (398 nucleotides) under Calidris pygmaea (Spoon-billed sandpiper). RNAcentral's name for it is "lncRNA (ENSCPGG00000007184.1)". The record is from RNAcentral. Lineage: Eukaryota; Metazoa; Chordata; Aves; Charadriiformes; Scolopacidae.